Pterocles gutturalis (yellow-throated sandgrouse) is the source of this 45-nucleotide non-coding RNA. NCBI's taxonomy places the organism in Eukaryota, Metazoa, Chordata, Aves, Pterocliformes, Pteroclidae. The record is from Rfam.
CCAAAGGCUCUUUUAAGAGCCCCCCCAGUUUCCUAGAAAGAGCUG